CAGGCUUAACACAUGCAAGUCGAGGGGCAGCAUGGUCUUAGCUUGCUAAGGCCGAUGGCGACCGGCGCACGGGUGAGUAACACGUAUCCAACCUGCCGUCUACUCUUGGACAGCCUUCUGAAAGGAAGAUUAAUACAAGAUGGCAUCAUGAGUCCGCAUGUUCACAUGAUUAAAGGUAUUCCGGUAGACGAUGGGGAUGCGUUCCAUUAGAUAGUAGGCGGGGUAACGGCCCACCUAGUCUUCGAUGGAUAGGGGUUCUGAGAGGAAGGUCCCCCACAUUGGAACUGAGACACGGUCCAAACUCCUACGGGAGGCAGCAGUGAGGAAUAUUGGUCAAUGGGCGAGAGCCUGAACCAGCCAAGUAGCGUGAAGGAUGACUGCCCUAUGGGUUGUAAACUUCUUUUAUAAAGGAAUAAAGUCGGGUAUGGAUACCCGUUUGCAUGUACUUUAUGAAUAAGGAUCGGCUAACUCCGUGCCAGCAGCCGCGGUAAUACGGAGGAUCCGAGCGUUAUCCGGAUUUAUUGGGUUUAAAGGGAGCGUAGAUGGAUGUUUAAGUCAGUUGUGAAAGUUUGCGGCUCAACCGUAAAAUUGCAGUUGAUACUGGAUAUCUUGAGUGCAGUUGAGGCAGGCGGAAUUCGUGGUGUAGCGGUGAAAUGCUUAGAUAUCACGAAGAACUCCGAUUGCGAAGGCAGCCUGCUAAGCUGCAACUGACAUUGAGGCUCGAAAGUGUGGGUAUCAAACAGGAUUAGAUACCCUGGUAGUCCACACGGUAAACGAUGAAUACUCGCUGUUUGCGAUAUACAGCAAGCGGCCAAGCGAAAGCGUUAAGUAUUCCACCUGGGGAGUACGCCGGCAACGGUGAAACUCAAAGGAAUUGACGGGGGCCCGCACAAGCGGAGGAACAUGUGGUUUAAUUCGAUGAUACGCGAGGAACCUUACCCGGGCUUAAAUUGCAGAUGAAUUACGGUGAAAGCCGUAAGCCGCAAGGCAUCUGUGAAGGUGCUGCAUGGUUGUCGUCAGCUCGUGCCGUGAGGUGUCGGCUUAAGUGCCAUAACGAGCGCAACCCUUGUUGUCAGUUACUAACAGGUUCCGCUGAGGACUCUGACAAGACUGCCAUCGUAAGAUGUGAGGAAGGUGGGGAUGACGUCAAAUCGGCACGGCCCUUACGUCCGGGGCUACACACGUGUUACAAUGGGGGGUACAGAGGGCCGCUACCACGCGAGUGGAUGCCAAUCCCCAAAACCUCUCUCAGUUCGGGCUGGAGUCUGCAACCCGACUCCACGAAGCUGGAUUCGCUAGUAAUCGCGCAUCAGCCACGGCGCGGUGAAUACGUUCCCGGGCCUUGUACACACCGCCCGUCAAGCCAUGGGAGCCGGGGGUACCUGAAGUGCGUAACCGCGAGGAGCGCCCUAGGGUAAAACUGGUGACUGGGGCUAAGUCAUAACA
Molecule: ribosomal RNA, 1446 nt
Filed under: uncultured organism
Description: 16S ribosomal RNA
Rfam family: Bacterial small subunit ribosomal RNA
Source: RNAcentral